RNAcentral lists this small RNA (138 nucleotides) under Klebsiella variicola. RNAcentral describes it as "RtT sRNA". It matches the Rfam family "RtT RNA". From Rfam's summary of the family: This family represents a bacterial cis-regulatory element known as RtT RNA. Lineage: Bacteria; Pseudomonadati; Pseudomonadota; Gammaproteobacteria; Enterobacterales; Enterobacteriaceae. The record is from RNAcentral. RNAcentral also lists the same sequence under 2 other names.
UAUAUUCUCCGCUGGGGGGGGAUGAGAACCCCCGACCGGGGUUCGACAACUGGCAACGCCAGUUGGACAGACCGCGAGCCCGCGAGCGGGCUGCCCCGCAGGGGCGAGCGAAGCGAGUCAAUCCCCCCCUCACCGCCA